Non-coding RNA from Hydra vulgaris (swiftwater hydra), 192 nucleotides. The record is from RefSeq and is a predicted model, not a curated record. Lineage: Eukaryota; Metazoa; Cnidaria; Hydrozoa; Anthoathecata; Hydridae.
GAAUGUUUCGGACGUAUUUGAUACACUUCUAAGUGCAAUGACUUGAAAGCGCAAUCUCGUUUUCGUUUUUUCUAUGGGGGAUGUGAUAUUUUAGGCGGAUGUUGAUUUCUGCUUUUACACCUGCUAAUGCUGUCGUAAGUACUCAAAAUUUUAGGAAGUUCUAUUGCUUGUCACUGUCAUCUAAACCGUCUG